Non-coding RNA from Malus domestica (apple), 101 nucleotides. RefSeq annotates it as microRNA MIR398c. The record is from RefSeq and is marked provisional. NCBI's taxonomy places the organism in Eukaryota, Viridiplantae, Streptophyta, Magnoliopsida, Rosales, Rosaceae.
GCGGUAGAGGGGUUCUGCAGGAGUGACCUGAGAUCACAUAUGGCGUUAUGUGUUGCGCUUGAUGUGUUCUCAGGUCGCCCCUGCGGUACCUUCUCUACCAC